This 242-nucleotide unclassified non-coding RNA is filed under the name plant metagenome. RNAcentral describes it as "partial contains small subunit ribosomal RNA, internal transcribed spacer 1, and 5.8S ribosomal RNA". The stretch from base 195 to 242 matches the Rfam family "5.8S ribosomal RNA", at positions 1 to 49 of the family's 154-position model. The record is from RNAcentral.
UUUCCGUAGGUGGACCUGCGGAAGGAUCAUUAUCAUGUAAUUCAGUCCCCUUGGCUGUGUUAUAUAUAUACCCACUCUGUGUACCUUCUCCUGUUGCUUCCGCUGGGUGUGUAAUUCGCCCGGCGGAAGGGUAAAAAUAACCUCUGAGUAUUGAUGAAAUCUCUGUCUGAACCGAAUGGAAAGAAAAAUGUUAAAACUUUCAGCAGCGGAUCUCUUGGUUCUCGCAUCGAUGAAAACGCAGC